Long non-coding RNA from Chinchilla lanigera (long-tailed chinchilla), 894 nucleotides. RefSeq lists it as uncharacterized. The transcript has 2 exons. Lineage: Eukaryota; Metazoa; Chordata; Mammalia; Rodentia; Chinchillidae. The record is from RefSeq and is a predicted model, not a curated record.
GCUGGCCCCGCAACGACCAAUAGGUGGGCACCGAGAGGCUAGUCGGCCGCGAAUCCCGACCAAUGGAAGCGGCCGCAGCGCUAACCCACGUGGCAGCGUGGCCUGCCCUUAGCCCCACCCCCGUCGCUCAGGGGCCCAACGGGAACGCAGCAAGGGCGGGACUGGCGCCGCUCCGGGCCCUCCUCCGCGCCCCCGCCCGCGCCUGCAGCCAUUCAUAAGGCUGGGAGCUCGUAACAAAGGGCGGGCGGGCCCUGAGGGGUCUAGGACCCCGCUCCAAGACUGGCCUCCACUUUCAGGGACCGCCAGGGGAGCGGCUUGAGUAUGAGGAGGGGGCGCGGGUCAUUGUUCCCGGCGCCAAGAGGAACAGGAAGUCGUGGGGCCUCCCCACUGUGUCCGUCUGGGAAGCAACCUUCAGCGGAAGCUGGAGCGUGAACCCUGCGCCUCGUGGCCGAGGUCCCCGGCCGCGCGGUGCCGAGGGACGGGCCAGCCGGUGGCCUGUCCCCGCCCCCGUGGGUGGGUAGGUGUGGAGGCCUGGGCGGGGCGUGAGGCCCCGGGCAGGGCGCUGCACCUAGGUGACGUGGCCAAGGCCGGUCGCGCCCCUCCCGAGCCGGUGCCACCGCGCAUCCCUGCCCGCCCAGGUCUCCCGGGCCGAGCCCGUUUCCCGAGACGCGCUCGCUCGAGCCGUGACGUGACGCGGCGUCCCCGCUGCGUCCGCGCACUCCGCUCCGGGCAGCGGGCAGGUGGUACUGGGCUGGGGAGUGCCCUGCCACCUGGACGCUGUGACCUCAGCUGACCAGGAAUGGAUCCCUAACUGUGGUGAGUACAGUAACUCUGGGAGGGGGAGGUGGCCCCCGGAGAUGAGAUGCUUGCUAUCUAAAUAAAAGGUCUCUGGCA